UCGAACGAUGAUGCCAGCUUGCUGGUGGAUUAGUGGCGAACGGGUGAGUAACACGUGAGUAACCUGCCCUUAACUCUGGGAUAAGCCUGGGAAACUGGGUCUAAUACCGGAUAUGACUCCUCAUCGCAUGGUGGGGGGUGUAAAGCUUUUUGUGGUUUUGGAUGGACUCGCGGCCUAUCAGCUUGUUGGUGAGGUAAUGGCUCACCAAGGCGACGACGGGUAGCCGGCCUGAGAGGGUGACCGGCCACACUGGGACUGAGACACGGCCCAGACUCCUACGGGAGGCAGCAGUGGGGAAUAUUGCACAAUGGGCGAAAGCCUGAUGCAGCGACGCCGCGUGAGGGAUGACGGCCUUCGGGUUGUAAACCUCUUUCAGUAGGGAAGAAGCGAAAGUGACGGUACCUGCAGAAGAAGCGCCGGCUAACUACGUGCCAGCAGCCGCGGUAAUACGUAGGGCGCAAGCGUUAUCCGGAAUUAUUGGGCGUAAAGAGCUCGUAGGCGGUUUGUCGCGUCUGCCGUGAAAGUCCGGGGCUCAACUCCGGAUCUGCGGUGGGUACGGGCAGACUAGAGUGAUGUAGGGGAGACUGGAAUUCCUGGUGUAGCGGUGAAAUGCGCAGAUAUCAGGAGGAACACCGAUGGCGAAGGCAGGUCUCUGGGCAUUAACUGACGCUGAGGAGCGAAAGCAUGGGGAGCGAACAGGA
RNAcentral lists this ribosomal RNA (701 nucleotides) under uncultured Sphingobacterium sp. RNAcentral describes it as "bacterial SSU rRNA". It matches the Rfam family "Bacterial small subunit ribosomal RNA", at positions 62 to 777 of the family's 1533-position model. The record is from RNAcentral. Lineage: Bacteria; Pseudomonadati; Bacteroidota; Sphingobacteriia; Sphingobacteriales; Sphingobacteriaceae.